RNAcentral lists this long non-coding RNA (1013 nucleotides) under Carassius auratus (goldfish). RNAcentral describes it as "lncRNA (ENSCARG00000023744.1)". Lineage: Eukaryota; Metazoa; Chordata; Actinopteri; Cypriniformes; Cyprinidae. The record is from RNAcentral.
GACGGGAACAGCAACAAAAGUUUAACUUCUGAUUCGUAAUCCACACGCUCUACUGGGCAGUUGGUGAAGACAGAGAGAUGUUGUGACGUCCAGGACAGUUCCUCCUUCAACACCAGACUCUGCUGGCACCUAUUUUUCAAGGACACCCUCAGAAUUACAACAAAUUUUAAGGCUUAAAAUUAUUGUGGUUUGGAGUAUAAUGAACAUAAUAUGAAUGUUUCAUAAAUUAUUUUGUGGAUUUUCUGAACCCUUAAUAACUGUUAUUUUUUCUUAUUUUGAGCAAAUUUGAGUCGUGACAUGUCAAAGGAGAACAAAAGCUGUGAACAGAAGAAGGGUCAGAUGUGUGUGUUCUGCGAAGUCCUGCAAACAUACUGGCAAAAUGAGAGUCAUCGAGGAACCAGCUUGUUCUUGAAACAUUGGACGGUACAGAAAGUGCACAAGUGGGAGAGAGUGGAGGGGACGGCGUCAGAAAGGACCUAGCGCUGGGACACUUUCAAGGAUCACCCGAACCACAACCACACUGUAUACACGAGGCUGCUGGUUCUAACAUUUUAGAGUCCCCUUUGGUAGAAAUCACAUUUUGGAGGAUCUGUCCAGAUCUUUCACCAUAGAAAACAUUUGGCGCAUCAUAAAGAGGAAGAUGUGACAAAGAAGACCGAAGACAGUUGAGCAGCUAGAAGCCUGUAUUAGACAAGAAUGGAACAACAUUCCUAUUCCUAAACUUGAGCAACUUGUCUCCUCAGUCCCCAGACGUUUGCAGACUGUUAUAAAAAGAAGAGCGGAUGCCACACAGUGGUAAACAUGGUCUUGUCCCAACUUUGAGAUGUGUUGAUGCCAUGAAAUUUAAAAUUAACUUAUUUUUCCCUUAAAAUGAUACAUUUUCUCAGUUUAAACAUUUGAUAUGUCAUCUAUGUUGUAUUCUGAAUAAAAUAUUGAAAUUUGAAACUUCCACAUCAUUGCAUUCUGUUUUUAUUCAGAAUUUGUACAGUGUCCAAACUUUUUUGGAAUUGGGU